AAAUAAAAAUCUUUCUGUGCUAAAUAAAAUACAGAAAUCAAAUUUCUGCUAGCAAUAGGUAACAGUCCCUAAGUAUCCUGAGCAUAUCUAACAUACCUUCUGAAGGUCUGUCACCCUUCAUGUUCUUUAUGCUUCCCAUGUAUGUAGGACAGUUCCUCUUCCAAUGGCCGUUCAUGAUGCAAUGGAAACACUUUUCCUUGGAAUU
RNAcentral lists this long non-coding RNA (205 nucleotides) under Phoenix dactylifera (date palm). RNAcentral describes it as "long non-coding RNA (PDAC_LNC019440)". The record is from RNAcentral. Lineage: Eukaryota; Viridiplantae; Streptophyta; Magnoliopsida; Arecales; Arecaceae.